RNAcentral lists this ribosomal RNA (253 nucleotides) under uncultured bacterium. RNAcentral's name for it is "partial 16S ribosomal RNA". It matches the Rfam family "Bacterial small subunit ribosomal RNA", at positions 524 to 776 of the family's 1533-position model. The record is from RNAcentral.
UACGUAGGUGGCAAGCGUUGUCCGGAUUUACUGGGCGUAAAGGGCGUGCAGGCGGUUUGUUAAGUCUAGGGUGAAAGCUCCCGGCUCAACUGGGAGAGGUCCUUGGAUACUGGCAGACUUGAGGAGGGUAGAGGAGAGUGGAAUUCCCGGUGUAGUGGUGAUAUGCGUAGAUAUCGGGAGGAACACCAAUUGCGAAGGCAGCUCGCUGGGACGUCACUGACGCUGAGACGCGAAAGCGUGGGGAGCAAACAGG